GUCCACGCCGUAAACGGUGGGCGCUAGGUGUGGGGAACAUUCCACGUUCUCCGUGCCGCAGCUAACGCAUUAAGCGCCCCGCCUGGGGAGUACGGCCGCAAGGCUAAACUCAAAGGAAUUGACGGGGGCCCGCACAAGCGGCGGAGCAUGCGGCUUAAUUCGAUGCAACGCGAAGAACCUUACCUAGGCUUGACAGUUUGGGAAAUCUGGCAGAGAUGUCAGGUCCGCAAGGGCCCAAACAGGUGGUGCAUGGCUGUCGU
This 260-nucleotide ribosomal RNA is filed under the name uncultured bacterium. RNAcentral describes it as "partial 16S ribosomal RNA". It matches the Rfam family "Bacterial small subunit ribosomal RNA", at positions 793 to 1055 of the family's 1533-position model. The record is from RNAcentral.